RNAcentral lists this ribosomal RNA (253 nucleotides) under uncultured bacterium. RNAcentral describes it as "partial 16S ribosomal RNA". It matches the Rfam family "Bacterial small subunit ribosomal RNA", at positions 524 to 776 of the family's 1533-position model. The record is from RNAcentral.
UACGUAGGUGGCAAGCGUUGUCCGGAUUUAUUGGGCGUAAAGCGCGCGCAGGCGGUCCUUUAAGUCUGAUGUGAAAGCCCACGGCUCAACCGUGGAGGGUCAUUGGAAACUGGGGGACUUGAGUGCAGAAGAGGAAAGCGGAAUUCCACGUGUAGCGGUGAAAUGCGUAGAGAUGUGGAGGAACACCAGUGGCGAAGGCGGCUUUCUGGACUGUAACUGACGCUGAGGCAUGAAAGCGUGGGGAGCAAACAGG